GACGAACGCUGGCGGCGUGCCUAAUACAUGCAAGUCGUGCGGACCUUUUAAAAGCUUGCUUUUAAAAGGUUAGCGGCGGACGGGUGAGUAACACGUGGGCAACCUGCCUGUAAGACUGGGAUAACGCCGGGAAACCGGGGCUAAUACCAGAUCGUUUUUUCCUCCGCAUGGAGGAAAAAGGAAAGGCGGCUUCGGCUGCCACUUACAGAUGGGCCCGCGGCGCAUUAGCUAGUUGGCGGGGUAACGGCCCACCAAGGCAACGAUGCGUAGCCGACCUGAGAGGGUGAUCGGCCACAUUGGGACUGAGACACGGCCCAAACUCCUACGGGAGGCAGCAGUAGGGAAUCUUCCGCAAUGGACGAAAGUCUGACGGAGCAACGCCGCGUGAGUGAAGAAGGCCUUCGGGUCGUAAAACUCUGUUGCCGGGGAAGAACAAGUGCCGUUCGAACAGGGCGGCGCCUUGACGGUACCCGGACAGAAAGCCACGGCUAACUACGUG
This 499-nucleotide ribosomal RNA is filed under the name uncultured bacterium. RNAcentral describes it as "partial 16S ribosomal RNA". It matches the Rfam family "Bacterial small subunit ribosomal RNA", at positions 28 to 507 of the family's 1533-position model. The record is from RNAcentral.